Molecule: non-coding RNA, 311 nt
Organism: Aspergillus sydowii CBS 593.65
Lineage: Eukaryota; Fungi; Ascomycota; Eurotiomycetes; Eurotiales; Aspergillaceae
Source: Rfam
AUGAACCGAACAAACACGGAUCUGUGUUCAGCGAUCCUGAUCGUGAUUGAGCUUGCCUCUUUUGCGUUUCGGUUGAUUGCUGGACAGUUCGACGCUCCAAGGAGGCACUAUUUUUUACGCUUGGUGUCACUAUUUUCCGGUCGACAGAUCUCAGAUUAAAUGUUGGCAUUGGGGUGUUCACUCUGGUCUUGAGCUCCUUCUGGUGAGCUCGGCUAGAGACCUCAGUGUCGACGGCGUCAUAUUCCUGUUCCCUUCACCGAUCUGGCCGUUGGCCGAUGAGGUUAGGGAGAAACCAUGGCUUGCCAACAUCA